AUGGCGCCGAGCCUGACUGCCAGACCGUCCCCCCUUCCAUCUCCUCGCCUCUCCUUCGCCAAGAACCAUCGCCUCCUCCUCGGCGUCAGGUGCGGCUCCGGCUCGCCCGGAAGCGGCGAUGACGACGCAUCGCCGGUCGUCAGGGCGGCGGUCAGCGCCGUCACUGAGCUCAUCAGGGCCCUCUCUCCCCAGAAGCCAAGGCAAGCUGUCGAAGCCGUCGACGCAGAGUCGGAGUCGCUUCGCAGCGUCGACGACGUGGUGGCUGUUCUUGAAGCCGACUACCGGCGUGCUUAUUUCCUUACUGGGAACUUCACUCUGGGCAUAUAUGCUGAAGAUUGCUUGUUUGAAGACCCGACGAUAAAGUUCCGUGGAAGGUCUAGAUACGCCCAGAAUCUGGAUUUGUUAGUGCCCUUCUUCGACAGCCCUUCGCUCCAACUUGAAAACAUAGACAAGGGUUCGAGGGUCGACACAAAGUUUAUCAUAGCAACAUGGACAUUAAGGACGUAUUUGAAGCUCCCGUGGAAGCCCCUCAUCGCCAUAAGAGGGAACACAACAUACGAUUUAGAUGAAGAAUAUAAGGUAGUAAUUAAGGGGGAUAAAAUAAACCAUGUAAACUCAUUUCAUCCAUCCCUUAUUUCACACUAUCAUUCAGAUUUCAAAGGUUGCACUACGUUUCAGGUCGUUAGGCACGCAGAGAGUUGGGACGUCUCUCCACUGGAAGCGAUUGGACAGUUAUUCGUCUCGGCUCCAAAGCAAACGGGCAGCUGA
Molecule: ribosomal RNA, 768 nt
Filed under: Triticum aestivum (bread wheat)
Lineage: Eukaryota; Viridiplantae; Streptophyta; Magnoliopsida; Poales; Poaceae
Description: partial small subunit ribosomal RNA
Source: RNAcentral